Non-coding RNA from Nomascus leucogenys (northern white-cheeked gibbon), 277 nucleotides. It matches the Rfam family "Metazoan signal recognition particle RNA". Rfam says of the family: The signal recognition particle (SRP) is a universally conserved ribonucleoprotein. It is involved in the co-translational targeting of proteins to membranes. Lineage: Eukaryota; Metazoa; Chordata; Mammalia; Primates; Hylobatidae. The record is from Rfam.
GCCGGGUCCUAGUGGUGCAUGCCUGUUGUCCCAGCUACUCAGGAGACUGAGGCAGGAGGAUCGCUUGAGCUCAGAAGUUCUGGGGUGUAGUGUGCUCUGCCAGUCGGUCAGGUGUCUGCACUAAGUUUGGGAUCAAUUUGGUGAUCUCACUGGAACCAGGGACUACCAGGUUGCCCAUUGGAAAAGGAGCAAGAACGAAUGCUGAUCAGUAGUGGUAUUACACCUGUGAAUAGUCAUUGCAUUCCAGCAUGAACAACACAGGGAGAACUUGUCUCUU